CCAUGAUGAUAAAGGCAUUUAAAUUGUUUAAGAGAGAUUACCUUACAGUUUGAAGUAACCUUAUCCAAAGAACACAUCCAGCAAACUCAGGAUUGAGUCCAGGAAGUGCUCCUACCCAAACCUUUUUCAGCACUGGUGAUUGUUGGAAAGACUGUGGGAAGACCAACAAAGACAGUUUUGCAGUCAGAUGAGAGGCAGCAGGGAGAGCGUCAGCACACAGACAGAGAGGGUGGACAGCUCAGCCUCCUGUAGUCGCAGUGCCAAAUGCAAGAUGCAGGCAGAGAGUGGCGACAACCUGCGGAGGAACCUCCAGUGGAGAAAAGCACGGAAGGGAAAUGGAGAAAUGAAGUGAGAGACAGAGCGGCAGCAGCGAGCAGACAGCUCCUUUAUCAGCAGGUCCCAUGAGUUAUGAGUGCAGUUGAAAGCGAAAGAGAAGAUUCCUUGUCCUCCAUGAAAAGGUGCUCCACAGCGCACAGAGGGUUUGCAACAUAACUGCGGCGUCUGCGACAUCCAAGGCUGGAUUACCAACCGGGCAAAACGGGCAACUGCACUGCAU
This is a long non-coding RNA of Morone saxatilis (striped sea-bass), 556 nucleotides long. RefSeq lists it as uncharacterized. The transcript is spliced from 3 exons. The record is from RefSeq and is a predicted model, not a curated record. Lineage: Eukaryota; Metazoa; Chordata; Actinopteri; Moronidae.